AGUGAACGCUGGCGGUAGGCCUAACACAUGCAAGUCGAACAGCAGCACAGGAGAGCUUGCUCUCUGGGUGGCGAGUGGCGGACGGGUGAGGAAUACAUCGGAAUCUACUCUGUCGUGGGGGAUAACGUAGGGAAACUUACGUUAAUACCGCAUACGACCUACGGGUGAAAGCAGGGGACCUUCGGGCCUUGCGCGAUUGAAUGAGCCGAUGUCGGAUUAGCUAGUUGGCGGGGUAAAGGCCCACCAAGGCGACGAUCCGUAGCUGGUCUGAGAGGAGGAUCAGCCACACUGGAACUGAGACACGGUCCAGACUCCUACGGGAGGCAGCAGUGGGGAAUAUUGGACAAUGGGCGCAAGCCUGAUCCAGCCAUACCGCGUGGGUGAAGAAGGCCAUCGGGUUGUAAAGCCCUUUUGUUGGGAAAGAAAUCCAGCUGGCUAAUACCCGGUUGGGAUGACGGUACCCAAAGAAUAAGCACCGGCUAACUUCGUGCCAGCCGCCGCAGUAA
This 506-nucleotide ribosomal RNA is filed under the name uncultured bacterium. Its description in RNAcentral is "partial 16S ribosomal RNA". It matches the Rfam family "Bacterial small subunit ribosomal RNA", at positions 29 to 523 of the family's 1533-position model. The record is from RNAcentral.